RNAcentral lists this long non-coding RNA (433 nucleotides) under Hordeum vulgare. Its description in RNAcentral is "long non-coding RNA (HVUL_LNC001985)". Lineage: Eukaryota; Viridiplantae; Streptophyta; Magnoliopsida; Poales; Poaceae. The record is from RNAcentral.
ACCGCAAGAGCGGCGCGGCGGUGGCCGCCGCGGCGAGCACGGCGGAGCAGGACAACUACCUGCGGGAGCUGCUCACCGAGAAGCGGGAGACUAGCCACCGGCGGCGGCGCAGCAGCAGCGCCCGCUCCGGCGUGUGGCGGCCGCGGCUCGAGAGCAUUGCGGAGGAGCCCUCGGACUAGCAGCACCGGAGCCAUUUUCCUCUACCUUCCUUUUUCGAUCUCCCGUUGUGAUCUUGUGAAUAUGAAUGGUCGAUUGAUGAAGAGGCUUCUUGGUUCUCCGUCGGCUUGAUCUCCUGAGUUCUGAUGCAACUGUAAGACCAUGGUUAAUAGUAUAGCCAACGGCUGACUAUACAUCUUUUAGCUUAUUUUAUAGCUAGCUUAUAUAAUAGUUAUUUAUAAAAGAUUACUAUUUUUAUCAUGUAUGAUUCAUCUUU